RNAcentral lists this ribosomal RNA (615 nucleotides) under uncultured bacterium. RNAcentral's name for it is "bacterial SSU rRNA". The stretch from base 1 to 523 matches the Rfam family "Bacterial small subunit ribosomal RNA", at positions 338 to 873 of the family's 1533-position model. The record is from RNAcentral.
CCUACGGGAGGCAGCAGUGGGGAAUAUUGCACAAUGGGCGGAAGCCUGAUGCAGCGACGCCGCGUGAGGGAUGACGGCCUUCGGGUUGUAAACCUCUUUCAGUAGGGAAGAAGCGAAAGUGACGGUACCUGCAGAAGAAGCGCCGGCUAACUACGUGCCAGCAGCCGCGGUAAUACGUAGGGCGCAAGCGUUAUCCGGAAUUAUUGGGCGUAAAGAGCUCGUAGGCGGUUUGUCGCGUCUGCCGUGAAAGUCCGGGGCUCAACUCCGGAUCUGCGGUGGGUACGGGCAGACUAGAGUGAUGUAGGGGAGACUGGAAUUCCUGGUGUAGCGGUGAAAUGCGCAGAUAUCAGGAGGAACACCGAUGGCGAAGGCAGGUCUCUGGGCAUUGACUGACGCUGAGGAGCGAAAGCAUGGGGAGCGAACAGGAUUAGAUACCCUGGUAGUCCAUGCCGUAAACGUUGGGCACUAGGUGUGGGGGACAUCUACGUUCCGUUACCGUACGCUACGACAUAGUGCCGCCGUCGGGAGGUACGGCCGCGACGGACGUAAACGUACGAAACGUUAAAGUUAGUACGGCGUUGAGACGUUGCCGACGGACGACGACGAGGGAGGAGG